GCCCUAGGCGUGGGGGAGAACUGGGGAAACUGGAAUUUCCCGCGGAGCUGACAGCGCUUGCGCUCCCCCUACUCGUUCUAAUUCCACGCGCUCCAAAAUAUCCGCCAUGGAGAAAUCUUGGCCAGGAUGUCCAUUCUAGGCCCAUCGGUGCUGUCUUGCUGAAGGUUGGGUCAGGCAUCUAAAGGGACUGUGGUAAGGGAGGGUGUGACACAGGUGUAAGCUGCCAUCGUCAUCAUGAACUUUGAGGGUCUGGACCCUGGACUGGCAGAAUAUGCCCCAGCCAUGCAUUCUGCCCUGGACCCUGUCUUGGAUGCCCACCUGAACCCAAGUCUGCUACAGAAUGUGGAGCUGGACCCAGAGGGAGUGGCCUUGGAGGCUCUUCCCGUCCAGGAAUCAGUGCACAUAAUGGAAGGUGUCUACUCUGAAUUGCACAGCGUGGUGGCUGAAGUGGGUGUACCUGUUUCCGUCUCCCACUUUGACUUGCACGAGGAGAUGCUGUGGGUGGGGAGCCACGGGGUAAGAACUGUACCCCUUUGUGAGGGUUGAAAGAUGUUGAAGGUCUUUAUCUGGUCUUAACCCAAGGAAGCUGCUUUGC
RNAcentral lists this small RNA (595 nucleotides) under Pan troglodytes (chimpanzee). RNAcentral's name for it is "retained intron". Lineage: Eukaryota; Metazoa; Chordata; Mammalia; Primates; Hominidae. The record is from RNAcentral.